Regulatory RNA element from Morganella morganii subsp. morganii KT, 423 nucleotides. It matches the Rfam family "cspA thermoregulator". NCBI's taxonomy places the organism in Bacteria, Pseudomonadati, Pseudomonadota, Gammaproteobacteria, Enterobacterales, Morganellaceae. The record is from Rfam.
AGCAGCUUUAUGUAUGACAACUGAGUUUGAGCGUUUAAGUUGAGUGUUAUCCCGGAUAGCCUUUGACCGUUUCAUAUGCUGUGUGCCUCCAUUUAGUUUUUGCUUCCGGCCAGUACCUGCCAAAAUGGCAAUGCAUUUAUUUAUAUAUAGGAAAGUCACAUGUCUGACAAAAUGAAAGGUCAAGUUAAGUGGUUCAACGAAUCUAAAGGCUUUGGUUUCAUCACUCCAGCUGAUGGCAGCAAAGAUGUUUUCGUUCACUUCUCUGCCAUUCAGGGCGCAGGUUUCAAAACCCUGGGCGAAGGCCAACAAGUAGAAUUCACCAUCGAGAAUGGUGCUAAAGGCCCGGCUGCAGCUAACGUAACUCCGCUGUAAGAUAUAGCCAAACCGAAUUCCAAGCCUGCCGCGUAAGUGGCGGGCUUUUUU